UCGGGAAUUUUGGGCAAUGGGCGAAAGCCUGACCCAGCAACGCCGCGUGAGGGAUGAAGUAUUUCGGUAUGUAAACCUCGAAAGAAUGGGAAGAAUAAAUGACGGUACCAUUUAUAAGCUCCGGCUAACUACGUGCCAGCAGCCGCGGUAAAACGUAGGGAGCAAGCGUUGUUCGGAUUUACUGGGCGUAAAGGGCGCGUAGGCGGCGCGGUAAGUCACUUGUGAAAUCUCUGAGCUUAACUCAGAACGGCCAAGUGAUACUGCUGUGCUAGAGUGCGGAAGAGGCAACCGGAAUUCUUGGUGUAGCGGUGAAAUGCGUAGAUAUCAAGAGGAACACCUGAGGCGAAGGCGGGUUGCUGGGCCGACACUGACGCUGAUGCGCGAAAGCCAGGGGAGCAAACG
This 402-nucleotide ribosomal RNA is filed under the name uncultured bacterium. RNAcentral's name for it is "bacterial SSU rRNA". It matches the Rfam family "Bacterial small subunit ribosomal RNA", at positions 355 to 774 of the family's 1533-position model. The record is from RNAcentral.